Molecule: ribosomal RNA, 1020 nt
Filed under: Triticum aestivum (bread wheat)
Lineage: Eukaryota; Viridiplantae; Streptophyta; Magnoliopsida; Poales; Poaceae
Description: partial small subunit ribosomal RNA
Source: RNAcentral
AUGGCCAAUCUCAUCAACCGUUUCUACUGUCUUUCCGGGAAGACUCCAAACGGGGACAAGUCUUUUAUUUUGUUUAGCGCCAAUGUUUCCCAGCCUUUAGCUCAACAAAUCACUCAUAUAUUCCCUGUUCCUCUUGUUGAUGGUACAUCUACUCAUCUUGGCCACCCGUUAAUCCUCCCUGCUAAGGAUCGUGCUUCCACUUAUAACUUUGUUUUUGACAAAUUUAAGAAUAAGCUUCCGACUUAUAAGGCAGAUAAACUAUCCCAUGCCGCCAGACUUGAGCUCAUCAAUUCUGUGUUUGCUUCCAUCCCUGUCUACUAUAUGUCCAACAUACUUUUUUCUAAAAAAAUCCUUGCGAAGCUCACCGCUGUCAUCCGUAAUUUUUGGUGGGUAGGAGUCAAAGAGGAGGCUGGUUCAAAAGCUUUAUGCCUAAGGGCCUGGAAAGACAUUUGUACACCUAAAAAGGAGGGGGGACUGGGUAUCAAAAACAUGCUUGCAAUGAAUCAGGGGUUGCUGCUUGCGGCUGCUUGGAGAUUGGCUGAUAACCCUGAUAGUCACAUCUAUCAAGUUCUCCGUGCUAAAUAUUUUCCAGGUUCUUCCAUUUGGAGAGCGAAUUCCAAUACCCCAAAAUCUGCUUUUUGGGCGUUUGUUCUCAAAGUCAUGCCUAUGCUCAAAGCCCACUCCUUUUAUAAAAUUUCCCAAGGGAAUGUUUCUGUUUGGAGUUCCCCCUGGUGCUCUACCUGGCACAAUUUGUAUGAUCAUCUUAUCAUUCAGCAAAGUAGCAAUUUUAUCUAUCCGGCUAAGGUUUCUGAUCUUUGGUUGCCUUGUAUGAUCAUCUUAUCAUUCAGCAAAGUAGCAAUUUUAUCUAUCCGGCUAAGGUUUCUGAUCUUUGGUUGCCUGGGAGAAAAGUGUGGAAUACUCAGCUCGUCUCUAACCUUUUUAUGGAGCCCUCUUCUUCGGCUAUUAUCGCUACUCCUAUUCUUCUUGAUGAUUGCAGAGACAUUCUUUGUUGGGACUUAA